AUUACCCAAAUCGGACACAGGGAGGUAGUGACAAGAAAUAACAAUACGGGGCUUAAUGUCUUGUAAUUGGAAUGAUGGGAAUUUAAACCUCUUCCAGAGUAUCAAUUGGAGGGCAAGUCUGGUGCCAGCAGCCGCGGUAAUUCCAGCUCCAAUAGCGUAUAUUAAAAUUGUUGCAGUUAAAAAGCUCGUAGUUGAAUUUCUGCUGCAUCGUCGCAUCUCUUGCUGAGUGCUUCGUUUCGGCUUAUUUCGGAUUGAUUUUUUCUUUCCGGAUGAUUACUUUGAGAAAAUUAGAGUGCUCAAAGCAGGCUUUUGCCUUGAAUAGUUUAGCAUGGAAUAAUAAAGUAGGACUUUGGUUCUAUUUUGUUGGUUUUAGGUACCAAAGUAAUGGUUAAUAGGAACAGUUGGGGGCAUUCGUAUUUAA
RNAcentral lists this ribosomal RNA (421 nucleotides) under Theileria sp. RNAcentral describes it as "SSU rRNA". It matches the Rfam family "Eukaryotic small subunit ribosomal RNA", at positions 440 to 901 of the family's 1831-position model. Lineage: Eukaryota; Apicomplexa; Aconoidasida; Piroplasmida; Theileriidae. The record is from RNAcentral.